Molecule: transfer RNA, 71 nt
Filed under: Caenorhabditis japonica
Lineage: Eukaryota; Metazoa; Nematoda; Chromadorea; Rhabditida; Rhabditidae
Description: tRNA CJA46906
Source: RNAcentral
CAGUGGAUGGUUCAGUGGUAGAGUGGCCGCAUGGUAAGCGGAAGGUCCGGAAUUCGAGUACGCGCUAUUUA